ACCAGGUAUUGUUCAUGAGGGGCCAGCUGAUCUCUAGCCUACUUGACAGGAUGAGAAGCCUGCAAGCACUGUCACCACCCUUACAGGAAACAGGUGUAAGUGCUUGCAGGAAAAGGCUCAAGUGUACUCUGUUGACAAAAGUAAACGAGUGCUGGUGGUGGGGACAUUCAUACAUAUAAGCAGACAGAGCAGCAGUCCCCCAGGAAUGCUCUUUUCUACAAGAGGUGACCCUUCAAUGCUUUUAGCAUUGCCACCAGCAGCUGGAAGCAUAUAGAGUUCAGGAACUAGCUGCGUAACCAGUCACCUUGUGAAUACAGAGGCGGCACCACAGGAAUUCUCUUUCUGAAGAAAACCAAGACAACGGACUUCACGUUGCUGUUGGGACUUCAAAGAUCGGACCCAGGCGCCCUGUUCAUGGUUGCAGCCACCCAGCACCUCUGUGAGCAGCACGGCCCAGCAUCCCUGGCACUGGUGGGGACGCGGGGUGGUGACGGGAGCCGUGCCCUGCCUGCUACCCCCCUGUGAGCGUGUGGCAGGGCUCGCUGGAGCACAGCCGCCUCUCCGUGAGGCAGCACCUGGAGACGCCUGCUCUCACCUGCGGUCCAGAUGUACCCGAGGUGCCCAACCUCCAGUGUGCUGGUGGCCCCUGCCUCUCCCCAGGAAGUGCUGCAGCUCCACGAAAAAAUGAGUCACCAAUAAGAGAUGGGAAAACAUCGACAUAUAUCAUCAGCUCUCCAGGCCCGCUCUUUGUCCCAAGUGCUGACGGAUUAAAAGCCUGAUGGCCGAGGGAAGGCUGGCAGGGCGUGCAGCUCACCUAAGUGAGUGCCACACAAGCAGAUGAGAUAUAGUCCGAACUACAUUUGCAUCAGAGGUAGUCUGAAGAAAACAAAGCAAGGACAUUUAAUCUGAGAAGUUCUCCCAAAUCACGCCUCUUCCAUUGAUAACAGAAGGGGUUUGAGCAAAACUUUCUGCAGUGGCUGAUGAUGAAUAAGUAUCUCACGUAAAGCUCUCAGGCAGGUUCCUCAGACCUGUCUGUGGUCCUGUCGUUCAACAAGAGCAGUGGAGGGGAGGGGAGCAGAGCCAGAUGAAAGUGUAAACUGUAGGAUUUCCCCAGCACGAGCAGACCGGUGGCUGGCACAAGGCUGGUAUCCCCGCUGUCCCCUCAGCCGUGCCUCCUCCUGCUGCAGCCUUCGCUGCUGUCCCCACAGCAUGGGUACAGUGCUUGAGGUGCCUGCCUCCAGGUCUUGGCCCCAACCACCCGUGGGGACAGGAACCUGAUGUUACCCCCAUCUCACAUCAGUCCCGGCUUCCCUGGCAGUGCUGAGCUCUAGCCAGCGGGAGCUCAUUCCCUCUCUCCUGGUUUUACUGAGCGUGAAGGUGAGCUCGGCACAAUUUGUGAUUUUUUUCAAAGAAAUGAAGGUGUGAAAUGCCUCCCUAAGGCGCUGGCACGGGGUGAUGAGCAGGAGAGGCCAUCGCCCCCACCAAGGCAUGUUUGGAGGAGCCCGCUGGUGCAGCGUGCUCCUUGAGGUGAAAACACAGCAAACGCACCCGCCGCAGCCUGCCUACUCCAUAGUAUUUCCUGGUAUUUUGAGGAGACGGAAAGCAAGCUGAAAUGUUCUGGUGCUUUAAAGGAGGACUAAGCAUUGGUGGGAGGCUUGUUUAGUAUCUGAGUGGGAUCAUGACUACGAUGUUCAUCUGCAUGUUACCAGCACGGAAAAUACGCAAUUGGGAGCGGUUUGAAGACGAGUAGGCUCAGGAAGAAAGGGAAACUAUUCCAGGGAGGGAGGAGGUAGCGGCUGCUAACGCUUGCAGCACGAAGAUCGUGGAAAAGCUGGAGAUAUCAGACCGGGAUAAUCUGCAGAAGGAGGAGAUCAGGCACAGAUCAACACUUUAUGGGAGGCUACCCUAAAAGCGUUCUGGCAGGAUGGCAUUUACCCUCGGGGCAGCAGCAGGGUGGGUGCCAAACCUGCCUGUUGAAGCAGCAGGAGGUUACCAGCCAAAUGUGCACACCAUGACCCCGGGGGACCUUUCUUUCCAACGUGCCUUCAGUUUGCUGGCGUGUAGAGGAGCUGGCAGCCACGCUUCACACCAGUGAUGAUGCAACGUAGCUCUCCUUUCAGAAGUGUCUCCAUAAAGCUGACAGAUGCUGUUAUCGCCUGGUUCUGCCCAGAUCGCUAGCCCCGGUGUUCCAGGUGGUUUUUGGGUGAUGUAUAAGCGAGCAGGGAGCAGCAUGUGCAGGAUGGAUGCAAGGUGUCUUCCAGCGCGUGCCUAGCAGGGUAGUCAUCUGCACAGUGUGGUAGUCUUUCAAGUAUGUGACAAAGCCAACAAAUAGCUUGCUGCUUUUGCCUGAUGCUCACAGCCAGGGAAGGAACAUUUGCAGCUCACUUAGGAUUUCGGUGUGUUUGGCAGGUUGGUUCAAGGCACCAUGACUUUCUAGCAAUGCUCCUGCAGUAUUCUUCACAUUCUUUUGUCUGAGAGAGGGGAAAAUGUAUGACUGAUUCCUGCUUAAUUAGGCCUCAUCUGCUAAACACUUUUGUCACUAUUUACAUAUGAGUAGUCCCACUGAAGUCAGGUCCAACAGCUGUAUACUUCAUCUGGUAACAAUGUAAAUCCAAGAUAAACACACUUGGAACAAGAGAUGUACAUUGCCUUAUAUGUAUGAACUACCUGAAUAGAGCAAAUGCUGUGUCGUACAAUUCUGGCAAGGGCUAACAGCUAUCCUGUUUCAACACCCUGUAAGCAGAUCACCUGAUUAUUAGUCUUAAAUGAUGGACUAAACUCUUCACACUAGUGCUGACUUUUACUCAAGAGUUAUGACUUGCCAAACGAGUAACUUAGAUUAAUUGUUUAUCCCUGUGAUAAGAUGAAGAAAAAAAAAAUAAUCCUCCACAUGUAUUCCCAUCAAGUAUGUUUUUGUGGCUGGGUGUCCCAUGGCCUCAGGAUCUGUUCUCUUGGAGGUAACAACCAGUCAGGAAUGGGACACAGGGAGAGGAAAUGGCUGGAAACUCGAUAGGCAGCUGGGUUUAAUUCUGUCUCAGCCCCUUUCCUCAUUCCUUUCUUGCAGGAGUCUCUCUGAGCUGCCUGCCAGGGAUCCUUCUCCACCGCUGUUAUGCAUUCACUCGUGUCCUGUCUUUGGCUCUGGUCCCUCAGAGCAACGUGGGCUGUUCUGUCACUAGUGAGGGUCUGUGUGGGGACUGUGACUGCUCUGUCUACCUCCUCCUCCUCUUCUGCCAAGAAGCUUUGCUUUUUGGCAUCCCACAUCACCCCACCCAUGACAUUUUGGUCCAUACUCCAUAUCUCUACUGUCUUGAUUACUGUGCUUGUUUUUUUUUCAUGAAUUACUUCAGACUGCCAUGAUUGAGGCAAUGUAGAGCAAAAUCUCCCUUCAGCAAACACAUGCUUAAUUUGGCCUGAUGACCGUGGGAUGGGUUAUCAGCUGUUGCCUAUUCCAGUGAAGUGGGUGGGGUGGGGUUGGAUAAUCUUAAGCAGAAUAGUUCCCCAGCAGCUCUUUGAGAUAGCUCUCUAAAUGAGUAUUUUUGCUUGUUGUUCUGUCAGCAUAGCCCUACCUUAGUAUCCUUGGUAAAGCUCAUCCAUUUGCUCUGGGCUAGGCUACUAUACCAGCCUGAACUGACUGUGUGUCCUGUUCUUGCUGUGGGUCCUUCUUAGAAAGCCUUCUGUGGAAGUUUUUAGUAAGUUUAAUGUUAAUAAAUCAUUAUACUACUGUGAUCCAGCAAAGUUUCCUUCUGGACAUCCUUAAUGACUGAGAACUUUGUCAGAAAGUGAAAAUAUCUGGAAGUUAAUGAGGUGAGAAGUAGGGGAGGAACAGAUAGACUACUUUGUUACAAAUGAUACAGCUAGACCGACUUUCUGGAUGAAAGACUACAUUUCUUGAGUUUUGAAGCACCAAGGUGGCGGAGAGUUGAAGCUUGCGGAUAUUGCAAAGGGUUAUUAGAUUCAUAAGUCACACCAAGUGGUGGGCGAUCCACUGAGCAAAGCAGAAGUUCUCACAUGAUGACUUCAAACAAGACACAUUACCUUCCAGCAUCUGUUGGGGAGACUGGAUUUUAAGACACUUCUGUCUCCAGGACAGCAAAGAAACAAUGGAUCUGGUACCACGGGCUGGGCUGUCUGGCACUUGGCGUGCCGGAGGACGGGACCCGCGGCGGCCGGCAGCACGGCGGUGCGGGCAGCGCAACUUUCCCCGGAACGCUCCGCUGCGGGGCUGCGCCGGGAUCCCCGCCUCGGAGAAACUUGGAGCCGCCGGGGAGCGGCGCGGAGCCGCCACCCGCUGCCGACGGCUGUCCCCAGGCGGGCCGGGGGCCGGGCCCUAGC
Molecule: non-coding RNA, 4332 nt
Organism: Anas platyrhynchos (mallard)
Lineage: Eukaryota; Metazoa; Chordata; Aves; Anseriformes; Anatidae
Source: RefSeq, a predicted model, not a curated record